CUUGGUUUACGGCAGCUUUAGGGAGGUGCUCUGAGACCCGAAACUAGACUCGACUUUAACAGACACAGACGACCCUGAAGAUGGAAAUGUUUUCUUCCAAAUUGUGCUGCACGUUUUUGGCGAGAGCAUGGGGCUGUGCGGCGUCCCCUCCCUGGCGCCCACCUGUGCCCUGCACACUGGCCUGCACUGUGGUGAUCUCGCUUGGCCCCCACCUGAUUCCCGACAUACAGCAGAGGAAGCUUAGGCUCAGGUGGAACAGCCUCAACUGAUUCUGUCCCUGAACUUCCGUACACAGCCCUGGAGUCGUCUUAGAGCCAUGAUUUAUUUAACUGUUCUUUCAUUUUACAGAACAUAAAAUGUAUUGUUUCCAACUUUUUUCCUAUGGUAAAUAAUACUAAAGUAAAUAUCUCUGUGCAUGAAUCUUUUUGUAUAUGUUGGAAUAUCCUUAAGAUAAGGCCCCAGAACUAAAAGUACCCUGUCAAAAGGUGAGCAUUUCCGGUUCCCCUGCUGUGCUUUGCUGCGUUGUUCUCUCCUGCUGCAACGUUCUCACUCCACAAUCCUGGGGCAGGGAGGGGAGGCCCAGCUGAGUUUGGAUCAUAAUCCUGAAAGACACAAUCCCAAGCACCAUAAUGUGGAAUGUUGAAAUCCCUAAAGAUCAAAAUCCCUCAAGUCUAAAAUCCCUGAUAUUUCAGAUGACCACAGCUACAGGGCUAGGUGCACACAAUUAGUAACCGUAGCGAUAUACGUGUACACGUUUCUCUUUUGACUUAUUUCUUUAUGGUCUGUCUUCUUAUAACUGCUACACCCAUGCCGCCGUCGUUAGUUACCUCAGUGUUUAUGCAAAAAUACCUGUUAUCAUUGCCUAUUUUAUUGUGUAAAGUGGCCUAUGAAAUGUUCUGUUGUGUUUUUAUGUUUCUCAAAUACAUACCUUUUAAAAAUGUAAAUAAAUAACAUCGACA
This 959-nucleotide long non-coding RNA is filed under the name Homo sapiens (human). Its description in RNAcentral is "HSALNT0246657". The record is from RNAcentral. Lineage: Eukaryota; Metazoa; Chordata; Mammalia; Primates; Hominidae.